This is a long non-coding RNA of Leopardus geoffroyi (Geoffroy's cat), 2484 nucleotides long. RefSeq lists it as uncharacterized. The transcript has 3 exons. The record is from RefSeq and is a predicted model, not a curated record. NCBI's taxonomy places the organism in Eukaryota, Metazoa, Chordata, Mammalia, Carnivora, Felidae.
UUUGGUAGAAUUCACUGGGAAAGCCAUCUGUUCCUGAAUUUUUCUUUCUUGGGAGGUUUUUAAUUACUGAUUCAACCCCUUUAAUGUUCUAGUGUCGCAGGCGAGUGGGAGAGACGCUGGUCCUUGUCUCACCGAGUUGAGCAAUGAAUCUCGCAGACACGGGAGUGAGCAAAGAGACAGAGUAUAUUGAGCCAAGUACAAAGCUCUCAAGGGUGAGAGGGGUCCCGACUGGGUUGCCGCCAAGGAUUUUUGCCCCUGACUUUUUAAUGGGACCUUAUCAGGAACUGGAUACUUAGUUUAGGUGCCAUCCAUGGCGCCUAACACAGGCAGGGCUGGAGUGUGUUUAUCCCUUCCCCCCCACCCCAAACCCUCUGCUGCUGCCUCCCACCCUCAGCUGAAGUCAGCCUCCCCAAAGGUCCCUUAUCUCUCCCUGCCUACUGUUAACCCUUUCCCUACUCAUUCCUCCCCCCUGGAAUAGGAUCCCUCACUGCCAUUAGGGACCAAGGACAGUGACAGUUCUGGCUUCUUCAAGCUGAAGAGGGACGGCGUAAGGGGAUGGCACUCAGAGUCUACCAAGGGUCGGUCGAGUGGUCCCCGGUUAUGGCUCCACAGGAAGGCUGGCAGGCAUGAAGCGGCACAGACAUCAGCAGCCACAAAGAGAAAACCACAAAUGACUGCGCUGACCAACAAGAUGGCGCCCGGGAAGGCCUCUACCCGAUUAGAAAAGCAUCAGCCCGUACCAACAGAUGCUGGAGCCCUUUUGACCUUGGCACCUGCAUGCACUCUGAUUGUCUGUCUUCCCCGGGAUGGCUUCCAGUUCCCUGACUGCCUGGGAGGGCAAGGUCGUGGUUCAAAGGAUUGUUUCUAAGACAGACGUCACAGGCCGAAACUACUUGUUGAACUGUCCUUGACAGAUUUUUCCCGCAUCGAUCUGACCAUAAGAUAGUACUGUGCUGAGUACUUCCCUCAGGAGGCCAGGACUCUCCAUCCCCCAGGCGAUACUGAGGCCACGCCUGGGAACAACCACCACCACAACAAACUUCAUGCACUUCUCUUUGAGCAUUUGUAGAUCCAAUCUUUCCCAAUUUUUCAGAACACCUUCCAGAGGAGUUUCCCAGCUCGAGAUCCCGACAGAAGUCAAGAGCCUCCAUACCUGGUGUAUCAGAGAGGUGACAAGAUGGCGUCCCUACAUAUCAGCUCUUGCCGCCUCCCAGCGGCACAUGGGAGAAGAAGUCAGCUGCAAAAGAAAGGGAGCAGGGGUCGACAACUGGAAGAAUUGUCGCCCCGAACAACUCGUCGUUCCCAUAUUUAUUGGGAAAGGGAGAACAAUCAUCAAAAGACAUCAAGAUGUAUCGCAUUGUUCAAAGAGCGUUCUCAAGAGAAGAGCGGAACUUGCUUAAAGCGUGUAGCGGGGGUCAUCUAGGGCCGAGCGAGCACAAUCGAAGCAUCUGCUCAGAUCCGUGGCGGGUGAUCGUGGUCUCGGAGGAAGUGGAGAAGUACAGACGAAAGCAGGCGGCUGUCCGCCUUGAGCGGGCCAGGCGUUCCCGGCUGCUCGGCUUCGUGACGGACAUCAGCCGCCUCUCCAGAGAGACCUUUCAAUAUACAUUUUCUCAAGGCUCUAUUAUUUCCGGCCUAGCUCUGCAUCAUGCUUUUUCUCCAACCAUCACGUUGUGGUGAGGGGCCGUCACCAGCUUUCCCCAUUUUGGAGCAAGGUAUCCCUUGAUUUGCCUUUCCCAAAGUUAGAGAAUGGCCUGACACCUUUGGUUGAAGAAGGAUUGGGCCCUCGGGAGGAGCCAUUCUGACCCACUGCUUCAGCCCCCACACAACCCUUCCCUUCCCCCUCUGGGUUCUUCUAGAUCCCUUAAAUCUUAGGAGUCCAGUGAGGUUGGCCAUCCAAGGUUUGUCAUUUAUAAAGGUGAUGGGUGCAGGCAAACAACUGGGGCGAUUAUGGGGGGGGCGGGUGCUGCUGAUGGAGGAGGUUUCCCCAGGCCGUGACCCCCCAGGGCCAGUCUCCAUCCUUUUAUGGGUCUCAGGUGCCCACGGGAACCAUAGGGCAGGUUCAGAGCACUGGAUCGCCAGUCCUUACGUGCGCCCCCCGGACAGAGAAAGUCUCACGACCUCAUUCUCCGGAGCCUCCUUGGUUGGGCCCUCAUUACUUGGUUGUACCAAUUUGCACCCCCAACCCAUGGACUCUAGUCCAUAAGAUUAAUUAUUUCUUCGCCUCACCCCAAGCAUCCUUUCUUCCUGCGUGCCUGAUGUCCUAUCGGCGGACGGGUCCCGAUCGAAGGGUGUAAUCCUUGAGACCCGGUAGCACUACAGUUCCCGACUUUUUGUUGCCGAAACAAGAAAGCUUCAAUAACAACCUAUUAAGGUUCCCGCUGCUAUUGUGCACAAAGGCGGCUCUGGUGGUAGAUCUGUGCUCCCACUCUUUUUUUGUUUUUAAUUUUUUUUAAUAUUUAUUCAUUUUUGAGAGAGAGAGAGAGA